Molecule: ribosomal RNA, 1307 nt
Filed under: metagenome
Description: bacterial LSU rRNA
Rfam family: Bacterial large subunit ribosomal RNA
Source: RNAcentral
GUAGGGAAGUAUGUGAGCCAUGUGCCGGGAAAAGCCGCUAUUGUUCAUACCGCACCCGUACCGUAAACCGACACAGGUGGAUGAGGAGAGAAUCCUAAGGCCGACGGAAGAAGCAUUGUUAAGGAACUCGGCAAAAUAGCCCCGUAACUUCGGGAGAAGGGGUGCCUGGAAACAGGCCGCAGAGAAUUGGCCCAAGCAACUGUUUAGCAAAAACACAGGUCUAUGCGAAACCGAAAGGUGAGGUAUAUGGGCUGACGCCUGCCCGGUGCUGGAAGGUUAAGAGGAGAGCUUAGCGCAAGCGAAGGUUUGAAUUUAAGCCCCAGUAAACGGCGGCCGUAACCAUAACGGUCCUAAGGUAGCGAAAUUCCUUGUCGGGUAAGUUCCGACCCGCACGAAAGGCGUAAUGAUUUGGGCGCUGUCUCGACAAUGCAUCCGGUGAAAUUGAAGUACCAGUGAAGAUGCUGGUUACCUGCGCCAGGACGGAAAGACCCCAUGGAGCUUUACUCCAGCUUGACACUGGGAUUCGGUAAUGCAUGUACAGGAUAGGUGGGAGGCUAUGAAAUAGGGACGCCAGUUUCUAUGGAGCCGCUGUUGGGAUACCACCCUUGCGUUAUUGGGUUUCUAACCUGCCGCCGUUACCCGGCGGGGGGACAAUGUCUGGCGGGGAGUUUGACUGGGGCGGUCGCCUCCGAAAGUGUAUCGGAGGCGCCCAAAGGUUCCCUCAGAAUGGUUGAAACCAUUCGAAGAGUGCAAAGGCAGAAGGGAGCUUGACUGCGACACCGACGGGUGGAGCAGGUACGAAAGUAGGGCUUAGUGAUCCGGUGGUAUUAAGUGGGAAUGCCAUCGCUCAACGGAUAAAAGCUACCCUGGGAUAACAGGCUUAUCACUCCCAAGAGUUCACAUCGACGGAGUGGUUUGGCACCUCGAUGUCGGCUCAUCGCAUCCUGGGGCUGUAGUAGGUCCCAAGGGUUGGGCUGUUCGCCCAUUAAAGCGGUACGCGAGCUGGGUUCAGAACGUCGUGAGACAGUUCGGUCCCUAUCCGGCGCGGGCGUAGGAUAUUUGAGAGGAGCUGCCCUUAGUACGAGAGGACCGGGGUGGACUGACCUCUGGUGUACCGGUUGUCAUACCAAUGGCACGGCCGGGUAGCCAAGUCGGGCAGGGAUAAACGCUGAAGGCAUCUAAGCGUGAAGCCCCCCUCAAGAUGAGAUAUCCCAAGACCCCUUGAAGAACACGAGGUAGAUAGAGCAGAGGUGGAAGUGCAGUAAUGCAUGGAGCUGACUGCUACUAAUCGGUCGCAAGCUUACCAA